GACGAACGCUGGCGGCGUGCCUAAUACAUGCCAGUAGAACGCACAAGGAGGAGCUUGCUUCCCUGGAUGAGUUGCGAACGGGUGAGUAACGCGUAUGUAACCUGCCUGUUAGCGGGGGAUAACUCUUGGAAACGAUAGCUAAUACCGCAUAAUAGUAGAUGUUGCAUGACAUUUGCUUAAAAGGUGCAAUUGCAUCACUACCAGUUGGUCCUUCGUUGUAUUAGGUAGUUGGUGGUGUAACGGCUCAACAAGGCGACGAUAACUCACCGACCUGAGAGGGGGAUCGGCCACACUGGGACUGGGAAAAGGCCCAGACUCCUUCGGGAGGCAGCAGUAGGGAAUCUUCGGCAAUGGACGGAAGGCUGAACGAGCAACGCCGCGUGAGUGAAGAAGGUUUUCGGAUCGUAAAGCUCUGUUGUAAGAGAAGAAAGAGUGUGAGAGUGGAAAGUUCACAUUGUGACGGUAUCUUACCAGAAAGGGACGGCUAACUACGUG
This 495-nucleotide ribosomal RNA is filed under the name uncultured bacterium. RNAcentral describes it as "partial 16S ribosomal RNA". It matches the Rfam family "Bacterial small subunit ribosomal RNA", at positions 28 to 507 of the family's 1533-position model. The record is from RNAcentral.